RNAcentral lists this ribosomal RNA (484 nucleotides) under uncultured bacterium. RNAcentral describes it as "partial 16S ribosomal RNA". It matches the Rfam family "Bacterial small subunit ribosomal RNA", at positions 29 to 507 of the family's 1533-position model. The record is from RNAcentral.
AUUGAACGCUGGCGGCAUGCUUUACACAUGCAAGUCGAACGGCAGCGCGGUCUUCGGCCGGUCUGCGAGUGGCGAACGGGUGAGUAAUUCAUCGGAACGUGGCCAUUUGUUGGUUAGAGCGGGGCGAAAGCCGGAUUAAUACCGCAUACGACCUGAGGGUGAAAGCGGGGGAGCGAAAGACCUCCCGCUCUUGGAGGGGCCGAUGUCGGAUUAGCUAGUUGGUGGGGUAAAGGCGUACCAAGGCGACGAUCCGUAGCUGGUCUGAGAGGACGAGCAGCCACACUGGAACUGAGACACGGCCCAGACUCCUACGGGAGGCAGCAGUGGGGAAUUUUGGACAAUGGGCGCAACCCUGAUCCAGCCAUGCCGCGUGCGGGAAGAAGGCCUUCGGGUUGUAAACCGCUUUUGUUCGGGAAGAAAUGCUCUGGGCUAAUACCCCGGGGGGAUGACGGUACCGGAAGAAUAAGCACCGGCUAACUACGUG